Molecule: ribosomal RNA, 325 nt
Filed under: uncultured bacterium
Lineage: Bacteria
Description: partial 16S ribosomal RNA
Rfam family: Bacterial small subunit ribosomal RNA
Source: RNAcentral
UGGGGAAUAUUGGACAAUGGGGGCAACCCUGAUCCAGCAAUGCCGCGUGUGUGAAGAAGGUCUUCGGAUUGUAAAGCACUUUCGACGGGGACGAUGAUGACGGUACCCGUAGAAGAAGCCCCGGCUAACUUCGUGCCAGCAGCCGCGGUAAUACGAAGGGGGCUAGCGUUGCUCGGAAUGACUGGGCGUAAAGGGCGUGUAGGCGGUUUACACAGUCAGAUGUGAAAUCCCCGGGCUUAACCUGGGAGCUGCAUUUGAUACGUGUAGACUAGAGUGUGAGAGAGGGUUGUGGAAUUCCCCAGUGUAGAGGUGAAAUUCGUAGAUA